GAUGAACGCUGGCGGCGUGCCUAAUACAUGCAAGUCGAGCGAACGGACGAGAAGCUUGCUUUUCUGAUGUUAGCGGCGGACGGGUGAGUAACACGUGGAUAACCUACCUAUAAGACUGGGAUAACUUCGGGAAACCGGAGCUAAUACCGGAUAAUAUUUUGAACCGCAUGGUUCAAAAGUGAAAGACGGUCUUGCUGUCACUUAUAGAUGGAUCCGCGCUGCAUUAGCUAGUUGGUAAGGUAACGGCUUACCAAGGCAACGAUGCAUAGCCGACCUGAGAGGGUGAUCCGCCACACUGGAACUGAGACACGGUCCAGACUCCUACGGGAGGCAGCAGUAGGGAAUCUUCCGCAAUGGGCGAAAGCCUGACGGAGCAACGCCGCGUGAGUGAUGAAGGUCUUCGGAUCGUAAAACUCUGUUAUUAGGGAAGAACAUAUGUGUAAGUAACUGUGCACAUCUUGACGGUACCUAAUCAGAAAGCCACGGCUAACUACGUG
RNAcentral lists this ribosomal RNA (497 nucleotides) under uncultured bacterium. RNAcentral describes it as "partial 16S ribosomal RNA". It matches the Rfam family "Bacterial small subunit ribosomal RNA", at positions 28 to 507 of the family's 1533-position model. The record is from RNAcentral.